UUUUUGAUGCAGAAUAUAACCCCAUGUAUACACACAUAAACUGAUUGAAACAGAAAGUCGUCAGUUUUGAGGACGAAGACCAUGAAAUUAGUUUCUAUUGGUUGAUGAAUAAAUGGCCGACGGAACAGUAUGUGUUUGAGGACAUGCUAUUGAGGACACGACUCCAUUAUCUGGGAACAAUUCAGUGUUUUCACAUCUAAAU
RNAcentral lists this long non-coding RNA (202 nucleotides) under Eucalyptus grandis. Its description in RNAcentral is "long non-coding RNA (EGRA_LNC006806)". The record is from RNAcentral. Lineage: Eukaryota; Viridiplantae; Streptophyta; Magnoliopsida; Myrtales; Myrtaceae.